GUGAACGCUGGCGGUAGGCCUAACACAUGCAAGUCGAACGGCAGCACAGUAAGAGCUUGCUCUUACGGGUGGCGAGUGGCGGACGGGUGAGGAAUACAUCGGAAUCUACUUUUUCGUGGGGGAUAACGUAGGGAAACUUACGCUAAUACCGCAUACGACCUACGGGUGAAAGCAGGGGAUCUUCGGACCUUGCGCGAUUGAAUGAGCCGAUGUCGGAUUAGCUAGUUGGCGGGGUGAAGGCCCACCAAGGCGACGAUCCGUAGCUGGUCUGAGAGGAUGAUCAGACAAACUGGAAAUGUGGCAAGGUCCAGACACCUAUGGGCGGCAGAAGUGGGGAGUAUUGGGAAAUUGGCGGAAGCCUGAACCACGCAUACCGCGUAGGAAAAGAAGGCCUUUGGGUUGUAAAGCCCCUUUGGUGGGAAAAAAAAGCAGCAGUUUAAUACCCCGUGGUUCGAACGGUACCCAAAGAAUAAGCACCGGCUAACGUCC
RNAcentral lists this ribosomal RNA (489 nucleotides) under uncultured bacterium. RNAcentral describes it as "partial 16S ribosomal RNA". It matches the Rfam family "Bacterial small subunit ribosomal RNA", at positions 29 to 505 of the family's 1533-position model. The record is from RNAcentral.